This is a long non-coding RNA of Xiphophorus couchianus (Monterrey platyfish), 313 nucleotides long. RefSeq lists it as uncharacterized. Lineage: Eukaryota; Metazoa; Chordata; Actinopteri; Cyprinodontiformes; Poeciliidae. The transcript is spliced from 3 exons. The record is from RefSeq and is a predicted model, not a curated record.
GGUGGGGAUGAGCUUACGGAGCUCUGCGAAGGCCGUGUUGACGUUGUGCUGGCGCCAGCGCUCCCUGGUGUUGGUGAACACCUUCCUGGUCAUGAUGCUGGAAGGUGUGGACGCCCCACCAGGAGAAAAACCUGCUGCUCUGCCUAUAAACUCAGCCUGAUUGGCUCACAAAAGUGGAAACGCAGGAAGUAAGCUGCUCUGACCGGAUUCAACCAGAUCGGCUGCGUCUCCGGUCCUCUUCCUCUCCUGACCGCUCCAGAACUUGGAUCCAAAAGAAGAAGAACCGCUGCUGGUCAAACUGUGAUAGCUUUGA